Stegastes partitus (bicolor damselfish) is the source of this 418-nucleotide long non-coding RNA. RefSeq lists it as uncharacterized. Lineage: Eukaryota; Metazoa; Chordata; Actinopteri; Pomacentridae. The record is from RefSeq and is a predicted model, not a curated record. The transcript has 3 exons.
UUUUGUGUGUUGUUUUGUUGUUUUAUGCGUCUCUGGGACAGUUUUGUGUCGUGUUUUUUGUCGUUUUCUGUCUUGUUGGUGUCGUUUCAGUGCGACGCUGCUCAGCGGCGCUUUGAGGGGAAGCUGGUGGUGUUUCACUUUGAUUGGUUAUUUUACGGGACGGUUCGGAUCGGAUCGGCCAACCGGCCUCUGCUCAUUAUGAAUGACUUCCUGCCGGCCGCAGACACACACUCAGGUUAGAAGACAGAUCACACUGAAAACACACAGAGGCGGAAAAAACCGCUUCCGCUUCGUGGAAACAUGCUGAGAUCCAUCAAACCAACGGAGCAGAGAUUCCCCACGGAGCCGAGAGCGGCGCCGCUCAGGUGUGUGUGUGUGUGUGUGUGUGUGUGUGUGUGUGUCUGCGGCCGGCAGGACG